CCAGUGGUGUAGUGGUAUCAUUCAAGAUUCCCAUUCUUGCAGCUUGGGUUUGAUUCCCGGCUGG
This 64-nucleotide transfer RNA is filed under the name Lepisosteus oculatus (spotted gar). It matches the Rfam family "tRNA". Rfam says of the family: Transfer RNA (tRNA) molecules are approximately 80 nucleotides in length. Their secondary structure includes four short double-helical elements and three loops (D, anti-codon, and T loops). The record is from Rfam by way of RNAcentral. Lineage: Eukaryota; Metazoa; Chordata; Actinopteri; Semionotiformes; Lepisosteidae.